RNAcentral lists this ribosomal RNA (741 nucleotides) under Pantoea agglomerans. RNAcentral describes it as "bacterial SSU rRNA". It matches the Rfam family "Bacterial small subunit ribosomal RNA", at positions 53 to 785 of the family's 1533-position model. Lineage: Bacteria; Pseudomonadati; Pseudomonadota; Gammaproteobacteria; Enterobacterales; Erwiniaceae. The record is from RNAcentral.
ACAACGCAAAAGUAGCGGUAGCACAGAGGAGCUUUCUUCUCGGGUGACGAGUGGCGGACGGGUGAGUAAUGUCUGGGAAACUGCCCGAUGGAGGGGGAUAACUACUGGAAACGGUAGCUAAUACCGCAUAAUGUCGCAAGACCAAAGAGGGGGACCUUCGGGCCUCUUGCCAUCGGAUGUGCCCAGAUGGGAUUAGCUUGUUGGUGAGGUAAUGGCUCACCAAGGCGACGAUCCCUAGCUGGUCUGAGAGGAUGACCAGCCACACUGGAACUGAGACACGGUCCAGACUCCUACGGGAGGCAGCAGUGGGGAAUAUUGCACAAUGGGCGCAAGCCUGAUGCAGCCAUGCCGCGUGUGUGAAGAAGGCCUUCGGGUUGUAAAGCACUUUCAGCGGGGAGGAAGGCAAUGCGGUUAAUAACCGUGUUGAUUGACGUUACCCGCAGAAGAAGCACCGGCUAACUCCGUGCCAGCAGCCGCGGUAAUACGGAGGGUGCAAGCGUUAAUCGGAAUUACUGGGCGUAAAGCGCACGCAGGCGGUCUGUCAAGUCGGAUGUGAAAUCCCCGGGCUCAACCUGGGAACUGCAUUCGAAACUGGCAGGCUUGAGUCUUGUAGAGGGGGGUAGAAUUCCAGGUGUAGCGGUGAAAUGCGUAGAGAUCUGGAGGAAUACCGGUGGCGAAGGCGGCCCCCCGGACAAAGUCUCCGCUCACGCAGAAAGCCUGGGGAGCAACCACGAUCUCUAC